GUCUACGGACCAAAGUGUGGGACCUUCGGGCCACAUGCUAUCGGAUGCGCCUACGUGGGAUUAGCUAGUUGGUGAGGUAAUGGCUCACCAAGGCGACGAUCCCUAGCUGGUUUGAGAGGAUGAUCAGCCACACUGGAACUGAGACACGGUCCAGACUCCUACGGGAGGCAGCAGUGGGGAAUAUUGGACAAUGGGCGCAAGCCUGAUCCAGCCAUGCCGCGUGUGUGAAGAAGGCCUUCGGGUUGUAAAGCACUUUCAGUUGGGAGGAAGCGUUGUGUGUUAAUAGUACACAGCGUUGACGUUACCAACAGAAGAAGCACCGGCUAACUCUGUGCCAGCAGCCGCGGUAAUACAGAGGGUGCAAGCGUUAAUCGGAAUUACUGGGCGUAAAGCGCACGUAGGCGGUUUUUUAAGUCAGAUGUGAAAGCCCCGGGCUCAACCUGGGAAUUGCAUUUGAAACUGGAAAACUAGAGUGUGUGAGAGGGGGGUAGAAUUCCAAGUGUAGCGGUGAAAUGCGUAGAGAUUUGGAGGAAUACCAGUGGCGAAGGCGGCCCCCUGGCACAAGACUGAACGCUCAGGUGCGAAAGCGUGGGGAGCAAACAGGUAUUAGAUACCCUGGUAGUCCACGCCGUAAACGAUGUCGACUUGGAGGUUNGUGCCCUUGAGGCGUGNGCUUCCGGAGCUAACGCGUUAAGUCGACCGCCUGGGGAGUACGGCCGCAAGGUUAAAACUCAAAUGAAUUGACGGGGGCCCGCACAAGCGGUGGAGCAUGUGGUUUAAUUCGAUGCAACGCGAAGAACCUUACCUGGUCUUGACAUCCACGGAAGUUUUCAGAGAUGAGAAUGUGCCUUCGGGAACCGUGAGACAGGUGCUGCAUGGCUGUCGUCAGCUCGUGUUGUGAAAUGUUGGGUUAAGUCCCGCAACGAGCGCAACCCUUAUCCUUUGUUGCCAGCNGGUNCCGGCCGGGAACUCAAAGGAGACUGCCAGUGAUAAACUGGAGGAAGGUGGGGAUGACGUCAAGUCAUCAUGGCCCUUACGAGUAGGGCUACACACGUGCUACAAUGGUAUGUACAGAGGGAGGCAAGCUGGCGACAGUGAGCGGAUCUCUUAAAGCAUAUCGUAGUCCGGAUCGCAGUCUGCAACUCGACUGCGUGAAGUCGGAAUCGCUAGUAAUCGCAAAUCAGAAUGUUGCGGUGAAUACGUUCCCGGGCCUUGUACACACCGCCCGUCACACCAUGGGAGUGGGUUGCAAAAGAAGUAGGUAGCUUAACCUUCGGGAGGGCGCUU
RNAcentral lists this ribosomal RNA (1287 nucleotides) under uncultured Rheinheimera sp. RNAcentral describes it as "bacterial SSU rRNA". It matches the Rfam family "Bacterial small subunit ribosomal RNA", at positions 192 to 1455 of the family's 1533-position model. The record is from RNAcentral. Lineage: Bacteria; Pseudomonadati; Pseudomonadota; Gammaproteobacteria; Chromatiales; Chromatiaceae.